RNAcentral lists this ribosomal RNA (917 nucleotides) under uncultured bacterium. RNAcentral's name for it is "bacterial SSU rRNA". It matches the Rfam family "Bacterial small subunit ribosomal RNA", at positions 32 to 935 of the family's 1533-position model. The record is from RNAcentral.
AACGCUGGCGGCGUGCCUAAUACAUGCAAGUCGAGCGAAUUGUUGAGUUUACUCAACAAUUAGCGGCGGACGGGUGAGUAACACGUGGGCAACCUGCCUAUAAGACUGGGAUAACUUCGGGAAACCGGAGCUAAUACCGGAUAUGUUCUUCUCUCGCAUGAGAGAAGAUGGAAAGACGGUCUCGGCUGUCACUUAUAGAUGGGCCCGCGGCGCAUUAGCUAGUUGGUGAGGUAAUGGCUCACCAAGGCAACGAUGCGUAGCCGACCUGAGAGGGUGAUCGGCCACACUGGGACUGAGACACGGCCCAGACUCCUACGGGAGGCAGCAGUAGGGAAUCUUCCGCAAUGGACGAAAGUCUGACGGAGCAACGCCGCGUGAACGAUGAAGGCUUUCGGGUCGUAAAGUUCUGUUGUUAGGGAAGAACAAGUACCAGAGUAACUGCUGGUACCUUGACGGUACCUAACCAGAAAGCCACGGCUAACUACGUGCCAGCAGCCGCGGUAAUACGUAGGUGGCAAGCGUUAUCCGGAAUUAUUGGGCGUAAAGCGCGCGCAGGUGGUUCCUUAAGUCUGAUGUGAAAGCCCCCGGCUCAACCGGGGAGGGUCAUUGGAAACUGGGGAACUUGAGUGUAGAAGAGGAAAGUGGAAUUCCACGUGUAGCGGUGAAAUGCGUAGAGAUGUGGAGGAACACCAGUGGCGAAGGCGACUUUCUGGUCUAUAACUGACACUGAGGCGCGAAAGCGUGGGGAGCAAACAGGAUUAGAUACCCUGGUAGUCCACGCCGUAAACGAUGAGUGCUAAGUGUUAGAGGGUUUCCGCCCUUUAGUGCUGCAGCUAACGCAUUAAGCACUCCGCCUGGGGAGUACGGCCGCAAGGCUGAAACUCAAAGGAAUUGACGGGGGCCCGCACAAGCGGUGG